CAAGCGAAAGCAUUAAGUGAGCCACCUGGGGAGUACGAUCGCAAGGUUGAAACUCAAAGGAAUUGACGGGGGCCCGCACAAGCGGAGGAACAUGUGGUUUAAUUGGAUGAUACGCGAGGAACCUUACGUGGGCUUAAAUGCAGAGUGACAGAUUGUGAAAGCAGUCCUUCUUCGGACACUCUGCAAGGUGCUGCAUGGUUGUCGUCAGCUCGUGCCGUGAGGUGUCGGGUUAAGUCCCAUAACGAGCGCAACCCUUAUCGUUAGUUGCCAGCGGGUCAUGCCGGGGACUCUAGCGAGACUGCCACCGUAAGGUGUGAGGAAGGUGGGGAUGACGUCAAAUCAGCACGGCCCUUAUGUCCAGGGCUACACACGUGUUACAAUGGCCGGUACAAAGGGCAGCUACCCCGUGAGAGGAUGCUAAUCUCGAAAGCCGGUCUCAGUUCGGAUCGAAGUCUGCAACCCGACUUCGUGAAGCUGGAUUCGCUAGUAAUCGCAUAUCAGCCAUGAUGCGGUGAAUACGUUCCCGG
Molecule: ribosomal RNA, 527 nt
Filed under: uncultured bacterium
Lineage: Bacteria
Description: bacterial SSU rRNA
Rfam family: Bacterial small subunit ribosomal RNA
Source: RNAcentral